UUAACCUUUAAAUUAGUCCCGUGAGGCUAAGAAGGGAAUGACGGACCAUGGAUUGAACGUGGACACCUCUUUCUUGCUUGCGGGCAGGGAGGAGGUUUUUUAGU
This is a non-coding RNA of Desulfosporosinus acidiphilus SJ4, 104 nucleotides long. The record is from Rfam. Lineage: Bacteria; Bacillati; Bacillota; Clostridia; Eubacteriales; Desulfitobacteriaceae.